Molecule: long non-coding RNA, 886 nt
Organism: Homo sapiens (human)
Lineage: Eukaryota; Metazoa; Chordata; Mammalia; Primates; Hominidae
Source: Ensembl
AACUCAUAGAGCUCUGGCAAUGUCUUAGAAACUGGAAAUUGCCGCUUAUGGAAUGAACUGGAUUCAUCCUCAAGGAAGAGCGGAUGAAACCAUUCAAAAAGGGAAUAGUACAGUCCAAAACGCAGGUUCUGGCUCUGUCACCCAGGCUGGAGUUCAGUGGUGCGAACUUCGCUCACUGCAUCCUCGACCUCCUGGGCUCAAGUGAUGCUCCCACCUCAGCCUACCAAGUAGCUAGGACUACAGGUGUGUACUCCACCACGCCCAGCUAAUUUUGUCUAUUUUUUCAGAGACAGGGUCUCACUUUGCUGCCUAGGCCAGUCUCAAACUCCUGGCCUCAAGCAAUCCUCCUUCCUUGGCCUCCCAAAGUGUUGGAAUUAUAGAUGUGAGCCACUGCACCUAGCCUUAGAUUCAUUUUAAUAAGCUUUUUAAAACAGCUCACUCUUGUUCCUAUCAUUUCUGUGGUAAGCUUCAGAGCAGUGUUGAUAUCUAAAGUCAUACUCAAAGUUACUCAACUUGACAGGCCCUAAUGUCAGACAGUACUAAAACCACUUGAGUCUUCAUUUGAAUAUCACCACCAUAAGCUUACACUGCGACGUUCCUUCCUGAGCUUAGUAUGCAUUUUCCAUGAGCAAUGAAAACAUCUGACAACAUGGGUCCCAGAAAAUGUAUACAUGUGGGCUACAUCAUCUCUCCUCACAGUUUGAUUAACAAUUUUUAUUAAAUAAACUCACUAUGUAAUGUUUUGUGCCAUACAGCUUGGGAAAGUUCCUAGACAUCAGGAAAUCAGCAUGUUCUCAAGCAAAUACACUUGAUAGACAUUCAUCUCAGCAGGAUAAAUAUCUACAGGAGAAAAUCAUGAAGCUACCAGAAUGUGGCCAAAGGGAAA